This 478-nucleotide ribosomal RNA is filed under the name uncultured bacterium. Its description in RNAcentral is "partial 16S ribosomal RNA". It matches the Rfam family "Bacterial small subunit ribosomal RNA", at positions 28 to 523 of the family's 1533-position model. The record is from RNAcentral.
GACGAACGCUGGCGGCGUGCUUAACACAUGCAAGUCGAACGGUAAGGCCCUUCGGGGUACACGAGUGGCGAACGGGUGAGUAACACGUGGGUGAUCUGCCCUGCACUUCGGGAUAAGCCUGGGAAACUGGGUCUAAUACCGGAUAGGACCACUGCCUGCAUGGGUGGUGGUGGAAAGCUUGUGCGGUGUGGGAUGGGCCCGCGUCCUAUCAGCUUGUGGGUGGGGUGAUGGCCUACCAAGGCGACGACGGGUAGCCGGCCUGGGAGGGGGACCGGCCACGGUGGGACGGUGAUACGGCCCAGGCUCCUACGGAGGGCAACAGUGGGGAAUAUUGCGCAUUGGGCACACGGCUGAUGCAGCGACGCCGCGUGGGGGAAGACGGCCUACGGGUUGUAAACCUCUUUCGGCACCGACGAAGCGCAAGUGACGGUAGGUGCAGAAGAAGGACCGGCCAACUACGUGCCAGCAGCCGCCGUAA